AAAAUUGAAGGAACAUCUCUCUCUCUAUCUCAAUCUUUAUUGAACAAUACAAACUCGUCUGCUCACAAUGGAUGCUACACGAGGAAGCUGUUUCUGUAUGAUUAUUCCAUAAUAAUGAGACACCGGACACCAGAGUGUUCAUCAUGUGCCGCUGUAGUGAAAACUGCCGGCCGU
This is a long non-coding RNA of Hippocampus comes (tiger tail seahorse), 174 nucleotides long. RefSeq lists it as uncharacterized. NCBI's taxonomy places the organism in Eukaryota, Metazoa, Chordata, Actinopteri, Syngnathiformes, Syngnathidae. The record is from RefSeq and is a predicted model, not a curated record. The transcript has 2 exons.